AGCAGUCGCCGCGGUAAUACGAAGGGUGCAAGCGUUAAUCGGAAUUACUGGGCGUAAAGCGUGCGUAGGCGGUUUGUUAAGUCUGCUGUGAAAUCCCCGGGCUCAACCUGGGAAUGGCAGUGGAUACUGGCAAGCUAGAGUGUGUCAGAGGAUGGUGGAAUUCCCGGUGUAGCGGUGAAAUGCGUAGAGAUCGGGAGGAACAUCAGUGGCGAAGGCGGCCAUCUGGGACAACACUGACGCUGAGGCACGAAAGCGUGGGGAGCAAACAGGAUUAGAUACCCGUGUAGUCCCUGUCUCUUAACA
This 303-nucleotide ribosomal RNA is filed under the name uncultured bacterium. RNAcentral's name for it is "partial 16S ribosomal RNA". It matches the Rfam family "Bacterial small subunit ribosomal RNA", at positions 507 to 808 of the family's 1533-position model. The record is from RNAcentral.